GACGAACGCUGGCGGCGUGCUUAACACAUGCAAGUCGAGCGGUAAGGCCCUUUCGGGGGUACACGAGCGGCGAACGGGUGAGUAACACGUGGGUGACCUGCCUUUAGCUCUGGGAUAAGCCUGGGAAACUGGGUCUAAUACCGGAUAUGACUCCAUGAUGCAUGUUGUGGGGUGAAAGCCUUGUGCGGCUGGAGAUGGGCCCGCGGCCUAUCAGCUUGUUGGUGGGGUGAUGGCCUACCAAGGCGACGACGGGUAGCCGGCCUGAGAGGCGACCGGCCACACUGGGACUGAGACACGGCCCAGACUCCUACGGGAGGCAGCAGUGGGAAUCUUGCGCAAUGGCGAAAGCCUGACGCAGCGACGCCGCGUGAGGGAUGACGGCCU
This 384-nucleotide ribosomal RNA is filed under the name uncultured bacterium. RNAcentral describes it as "bacterial SSU rRNA". It matches the Rfam family "Bacterial small subunit ribosomal RNA", at positions 28 to 417 of the family's 1533-position model. The record is from RNAcentral.